CGGGAAUGGAAAGACCGGUACAAGCGAGGUAGGAGAAGAGUUGGCAAAUCCGCUCUUUAAUCUGAAGACGUGAUGUGGACUGAAAAUAAGUAGGGAAGCACGUGAGCUGACUGUCAAGAAAAGCCGCUAUUGUUUGCAGGAUACCCGUACCGUAAACCGACACAGGUGGAUGAGGAGAGAAUCCUAAGGCCGACGGGAGAAGCAUUGUUAAGGAACUCGGCAAAAUGACUCCGUAACUUCGGGAGAAGGAGUGCCAGUAAGAUGGCCGCAGAGAAUUGGCCCAAGCAACUGUUUAGCAAAAACACAGGUCUAUGCAAAACCGAAAGGUGAGGUAUAUGGGCUAACGCCUGCCCGGUGCUGGAAGGUUAAGGGGAGAGGUUAGCGCAAGCGAAGCUUUGAACUUAAGCCCCAGUAAACGGCGGCCGUAACUAUAACGGUCCUAAGGUAGCGAAAUUCCUUGUCGGGUAAGUUCCGACCCGCACGAAAGGCGUAAUGAUUUGGGCACUGUCUCAACAAUGCACCCGGUGAAAUUGAAAUACCAGUGAAGAUGCUGGUUACCUGCGCCAGGACGGAAAGACCCCAUGGAGCUUUACUCCAGCUUGAUACUGGGAUUCGGUAUUGCAUGUACAGGAUAGGUGGGAGGCUAGGAAAUGGUAACGCCAGUUGCCAUGGAGCCAAUGUUGGGAUACCACCCUUGCAGUACUGGGUUUCUAACCAGCAGCCGUGAUCCGGCUGGGGGACAAUGUCAGGUGGGGAGUUUGACUGGGGCGGUCGCCUCCGAAAGGGUAUCGGAGGCGCUCAAAGGUUCCCUCAGAAUGGUUGGAAACCAUUCGAAGAGUGCAAAGGCAGAAGGGAGCUUGACUGCGACACCGACGGGUGGAGCAGGUACGAAAGUAGGACUUAGUGAUCCGGUGGUAUAAAGUGGGAUUCCAUCGCUCAACGGAUAAAAGCUACCCUGGGAUAACAUGCUUAUCACUCCCAAGAGUUCACAUCGACGGAGUGGUUUGGCACCUCGAUGUCGGCUCAUCGCAUCCUGGGGCUGAAGUAGGUCCCAAGGGUUGGGCUGUUCGCCCAUUAAAGCGGUACGCGAGCUGGGUUCAGAACGUCGUGAGACAGUUCGGUCCCUAUCCGGCGUGGGCGUAAGAUAUUUGAGAGGAGCUGUCCUUAGUACGAGAGGACCGGGAUGGACUGGCCGCUGGUGUAUCUGUUGUCUUACCAAAGGCAUAGCAGAGUAGCCAAGCCGGGAAGGGAUAAACGCUGAAGGCAUCUAAGCGUGAAGCCCCCCUCAAGAUGAGAUAUCUCAUAACGUCAAGUUAGUAAGACCCCUUGAAGACGACGAGGUAGAUAGGGCAGAGGUGGAAGUGUGGUAACACAUGGAGCUGACUGUUACUAAUAGGUCGAGGGCAUAACCG
Molecule: ribosomal RNA, 1412 nt
Filed under: metagenome
Description: bacterial LSU rRNA
Rfam family: Bacterial large subunit ribosomal RNA
Source: RNAcentral